CAAACUAUGCCUAGGGCUAAAUGUUAUUUACAUUAAUAUUACACUUGUGCGAGUCAAGUUAGUUUGA
RNAcentral lists this transfer RNA (67 nucleotides) under Scoparipes salvazai. Its description in RNAcentral is "tRNA-Val". The record is from RNAcentral. Lineage: Eukaryota; Metazoa; Arthropoda; Insecta; Hemiptera; Cydnidae.